Molecule: long non-coding RNA, 248 nt
Organism: Saccostrea cuccullata (small rock oyster)
Lineage: Eukaryota; Metazoa; Mollusca; Bivalvia; Ostreida; Ostreidae
Exons: 3
Source: RefSeq, a predicted model, not a curated record
CUCCUUAGGCCUGGUUGGAGGGGGAGUGGGGAUCAAAAAGGAGAAAGCCCCGCAGGGCAAUGCGACAAGGCUACACAUGACUACUUCUCAAGGAAAUAGGAAAGCUGAGCUCAGAAAGACUGGUGGAGGACCACCUCCUCAAGAACUGAAGAAUUGGGAGAAGAAGAGCGUAUCUAUCCUCUCAGAUGUCAUUUCUGGUGUGGAUGGGGGUUUUGACUCUUUGUGCACAGCAAGUUUUUCAACAGAUA